CAGGAUAAAGUUGACUGUU
This 19-nucleotide microRNA is filed under the name Schistosoma mansoni. RNAcentral's name for it is "sma-miR-8476-5p". The record is from miRBase by way of RNAcentral. Lineage: Eukaryota; Metazoa; Platyhelminthes; Trematoda; Strigeidida; Schistosomatidae.